RNAcentral lists this ribosomal RNA (548 nucleotides) under uncultured Rhizophagus. RNAcentral's name for it is "SSU rRNA". It matches the Rfam family "Eukaryotic small subunit ribosomal RNA", at positions 548 to 1098 of the family's 1831-position model. Lineage: Eukaryota; Fungi; Glomeromycota; Glomeromycetes; Glomerales; Glomeraceae. The record is from RNAcentral.
UUGGAGGGCAAGUCUGGUGCCAGCAGCCGCGGUAAUUCCAGCUCCAAUAGCGUAUAUUAAAGUUGUUGCAGUUAAAAAGCUCGUAGUUGAAUUUCGGGGUCAGUAGGUCGGUCGUGCCACUGGUAUGAACUGGUUUUACUGAUUCCUCCCUCUUGAAGAACUGUAAUGCCAUUAAUUUGGUGUUGCAGGGAAUCAGGACUGUUACUUUGAAAAAAUUAGAGUGUUUAAAGCAGGCUUUAGCUUGAAUACAUUAGCAUGAAAUAAUGAAAUAGGACGUUUGAUCCUAUUUUGUUGGUUUCUAGGAUUGACGUAAUGAUUAAUAGGGAUAGUUGGGGGCAUUAGUAUUCAAUUGUCAGAGGUAAAAUUCUUGGAUUUAUUGAAGACUAACUACUGCGAAAGCAUUUGCCAAGGAUGUUUUCAUUAAUCAAGAACGAAAGUAGGGGAUCGAAGACGAUCAGAUACCGUCGUAGUCUUAACCAUAAACUAUGCCGACUAGGGAUCGGAUGAUGUUAAUUUUUUAAUGACUCAUUCGGCGCCUUACGGGAAAC